AACCAUAAGGUAUCUAUUUUUGGCGAUUUCUGCUCAAUGAAUAUUAAAUAGCCGCAGUACUUUGACUGUGCAAAGGUAGCAUAAUAAUUUGGCUUUUAAUUGGGGUCUAGUAUGAAUGAAAAAAUGGGGGAAUGCUGUAUCAGUUUAAAGGCUUAAAUUUACUUAGGGGGUGAAAAUACCUCUAAUUAUAUAAUAGACGAGAAGACCCUUGAAAUUUUAAAAUCAUAAAUUUUGUUGGGGCGACAGAGUAGCAAGUAACCUACUUUUAAAAUGUGUCUUACUAUAUAAGGAAAAAUUAAAUUACUCAAGGGAUAACAGCAUAAUUAUUUAAAUAGUUUGUGACCUCGAUGUUGGAUUAGGAAUAUCUAGCUUAGAAGGUUAAGAUUUUUGCUCUGUUCGAGCGAUUUUUCCUACGUGAUCUGAG
RNAcentral lists this ribosomal RNA (424 nucleotides) under Satsuma takkiriensis. Its description in RNAcentral is "partial 16S ribosomal RNA". It matches the Rfam family "Bacterial large subunit ribosomal RNA", at positions 1829 to 2609 of the family's 2925-position model. The record is from RNAcentral. Lineage: Eukaryota; Metazoa; Mollusca; Gastropoda; Stylommatophora; Camaenidae.